This 497-nucleotide ribosomal RNA is filed under the name uncultured bacterium. Its description in RNAcentral is "partial 16S ribosomal RNA". It matches the Rfam family "Bacterial small subunit ribosomal RNA", at positions 28 to 507 of the family's 1533-position model. The record is from RNAcentral.
GAUGGACGCUGGCGGCGUGCCUAAUACAUGCAAGUCGAGCGAACAGACGAGGAGCUUGCUCCUCUGACGUUAGCGGCGGACGGGUGAGUAACACGUGGAUAACCUACCUAUAAGACUGGGAUAACUUCGGGAAACCGGAGCUAAUACCGGAUAAUAUAUUGAACCGCAUGGUUCAAUAGUGAAAGACGGCUUUGCUGUCACUUAUAGAUGGAUCCGCGCCGCAUUAGCUAGUUGGUAAGGUAACGGCUUACCAAGGCAACGAUGCGUAGCCGACCUGAGAGGGUGAUCGGCCACACUGGAACUGAGACACGGUCCAGACUCCUACGGGAGGCAGCAGUAGGGAAUCUUCCGCAAUGGGCGAAAGCCUGACGGAGCAACGCCGCGUGGGUGAUGAAGGUCUUCGGGUCGUAAAGCUCUGUUAUUAGGGAAGAACAAAUGUGUAAGUAACUAUGCACGUCUUGACGGUACCUAAUCAGAAAGCCACGGCUAACUACGUG